AGGAAGACAAAAUGCGAGUCCAUGUGAUUUUGCAAGAAUAAGGUAAUAAAGUCCAUCUGAUUCACGUCCGGUACCAAUGAUCCGCCCUGUAUUGCGUUCCUGUAUAAAAACAAGGUCAUCUAAAAAUAAAACAGCAGAUUUAAGUGAUUUGGCUAAGCGACUAACAGCUAUGAGAUUAAAAGGACUACCAGGAACAUAAAGAACUGAGUCCAAAGGUAAGGAAGGAAGUGGACUUGCUUGACCUAUUGCAGUUGCCAUGGCUUGAGACCCAUUGGCCAUUGUGACUAUUGGAACAGAUUGAGAAUAUGAGAUACUAGUGAAAAGAGAUUUGUUACCAGAAAUAUGAUCAGAUGCACAUGAAUCAAUGACCCAAGACUCAGAAGGUGAAGAUUGGGAGACACCAGUCAGGCUACUAUUUGUUGGAACAACAGAGGUUAAUACUGAAGAUGUCUGUUUACGUGCUUUGUACUGGAGGAACUCAAUAUAAUCCGGUAAAGAAACCAUCUAAAUUGGAUAUUGCAUUUAAUCCAAUGGAUUGUGAGUUAAAGGCUUCAGAUACGGAUUCCAUUAUAAUAUUGUACCGGGAAAAGCAGAAAAUUGCCGGAGAUCACUAAAAAAUUACUGUAGCUUGCCGGAAAAAACUCAAAGUGGUCGGAAUCAAACGAAAAUAGGAUGAGCAGGGUCGGAAUUGGUAGGCGACCCAACUGUUUUGAAGAAACUUUUUCAAAUUCUGACCGGAAGGGGUCUCACGCACCGGCGCGUGGGACAGACGCGCCGGCGGCGGCAGAUCUCCGACAGGAGCGUGACGGCGUGUGGAUGGUUAUUUUCCGGUGAUCUUUUCUGGGGUUUGGUCGGAUCUCUCUUGGGUACCUUGUGGUGGUGUCGAAUUUUGCACAACACUGAUAAUUAGUGACUUUGACGCAAUUAGUCACUUAGGUCACCGGAAAAUUGCACUGGUGACUUAGCUCUUUCUUCCCGAAUAUCGCUAGAAUGACGCACAACGAUAAAUUUCUCACGGUUGCUCUGAUAACAUGUGAGAAAGCACAGGAGAAAAAUAUUAUUAUUGAUUAAUUAUGACAAUGAUACAAUGAGCCCUAUGUGUACAAUACAUGUUCUACUCCUAAUACAUAUGGGAUUAGGUUUAUUUACUAUUAUUUAUACAAUGAAACUAACAGAUAUAUACAAGUACCAAAGGAACUAUUGCCGCUGAUAGGAAAGUCAAAGGUUGUACACCCACUUAUAAUUCUACUACUUCAAUUCAACGAAAAACAAGAUGAAAUUAUAAAAGAUUCCAUCUCCCCCAAGUAUCACUGAUGGCGAUUAGAGCAGCUGCAAAUGAUGGUAAUUCUUGUUCCUAUUAAGCCGAUAAACAGCAGGAACAACAUACUGAGGAGGUAUGUACACCAGCACUUAAGGUAGAAGUUAUACACAAAACUUCAUGCACUAAUUAUUCAUCAACACUCUCGAUGAUCAUCACAACAUGAUGUAUAGCCAAUAUUAGAAUUAGCAUUAUGAGAUGAAAAAUGGUUUUCAGCAGGUAACUCAUACCAAAUUGUGGCAUUAUCUUUUUACCGAAACUCAGACUGAAUAUGCAUGAAUUGAGACACAUUCACCAAAAGUUACAUAAUUUGCCCUUUUAAGGGUCAUGUAUAGUAGUUCAUCCAGAAAUCCACUGAAAUAGUACACUUUUUUUUUAGAUAAAUAAGAAAAUUUAUGAAACGGUGAGAAUUAAUCCACUGAAGAAGUACACUUCGAGAGUGUAUCGUGCAUUCAACAGUUAAAGGUACAUUCCUAGAUACAUGUUUUACAAGGCAUAACAAUGACUGAACAGAGAAAAGAACCAAUGAAGGAAAAUAUUUUUCUUGAAAAAAUCAUUUCUGGUGUUACAGAAAAAUAUUUUCCAAAGGCCAAAAAAAUUUCCAUAGAAAGGGGAAAAUUGUUCCUCUUUUAUGAGCGUAUUUUAUCUUCUUUACAUCAUCCCAACUCCUAAAUCCCUACAUGUCACUUGCUCUAAGCCUCUACCAACACAUACAUAUUAGUAUCAAACUAUAACACUCAGAAAAAAAAAUUCAUAAAACCUCUUUCCAAGGCGCCUCAAUACCAAACAAGUAGAGAUUAACUAUAUGAAUCCUCAUAGACCAUGUUCCGCAUUUAAACUCAUCUUAAACCAACACUAUACAACGUAAAACCAAAAAAAUGAAAAGUAUUAGAACUUCUCUACAUUCCCUACUAGCAUACGAAUCACUAAUAGGGCUAAAAGACUCCUAGAAAGCAUAGUACUUAAUGUAAAACUCCGCCAUAGCGCAAGUCGGCGAUCCAAGUCCGGAUAAAGGAGAACCGUUGCAAUCAGCAACGAAGCUAAGAAUUUCCUCAAGGGUGUUCAAACUUAAAAAAAGUAAAAAAUUCUACGACAAAGGGUGUUCAUUGUAUGCGGUAUAAGUUUUCGACGAAUUGACCACCUUUAAGACAUGUAGCUUCGCCCCUAGGCUGGCAGCUAGCAUAAAACUACCCAAUUUAUAAUGAAUUUGCUUUCAAUAUCAUCAAUCUUUCAUAAAUUGUACAUUCACUAAACAUGCUUCGCUAUAUAAAUCGCAAUAAACGUUUAAGAGAACUUACGAGUAGCGAGGGUGAAGAGUAAUUGGACACAGAUGAAGAAUUUGUCCCUUGAAUUCCAGAAUUUUCCUGUAAACUUCCCUCAUAUAUUCCUCCGUUUCUUCUAUACAUGCCAAACUGCCGCUAUCUGCUGAGGCUGACACCCAGCGCCCACCGAUCACUAAUCAAUUCAAAGCGCCUCACCCUCAAUUUUAUCAACCAAAAAGGAGUAUCUAAAUAAUACUGUGUUUUUGUUAUAAAUAAAACUC
RNAcentral lists this long non-coding RNA (2861 nucleotides) under Nicotiana benthamiana. Its description in RNAcentral is "long non-coding RNA (NBEN_LNC032392)". The record is from RNAcentral. Lineage: Eukaryota; Viridiplantae; Streptophyta; Magnoliopsida; Solanales; Solanaceae.